UUUAAUUAAGUUGCAGGGAUAUCAAUCUGUUUCUUCAUGUAUGUACAAGCUUCAUAUGCAUAUUUCACGUAUCGCAAAUCACUUGUUUGUCUCGCAUAAAUCCAGCGUGAUUCGCACGACCACUUCUGACAAUAAUUUCUUGUUUUCAUUCUACAAAAUCUUGAAAAAAAAAUGUACUUAUAAAUCGUACUCCUCUUUCCAUAACCAUAAAAACGUUAAAAAUCAUUUAAUUAUGAUCGCGCUAUCGAGAUUGUUUCUCGAUUUAUCACGGCGAUAUAGACAUCAUCCUAUUUUUUUGCAUCGUAAAUUUUCGAAAAACCUUCCGACUGACUAUAGAAAAGUCCAGAGGAUCAAGGAGAAGAGUGCGAAAAAAUUGACGAGGAAAGAAAAAGAUAAAAAUAUGCAAAAAGAUAAUGAGGCUAACAUCAGAGUAUGCAUCAUCGGUGGGGGAGUGACACCUCUUUACACCGCGAUUCUUUUGAAGCAAUAUAAGAUUAUCAAAAGCAUACGUCUGGUGGAUACAAGGGACUCCUCAUUAGAGGCUUUGACAGAUUUGUCACAGCUGGAAACCAGCCCUCGUAUAGAUUACUUUCGAGAAAAGGAUAUAAAGCAGGCUCUCAGAGAAGCGAACAUAGUUGCGCUCAUGGACGAGACUGAUGUCACCGCGGUAAGUAACACGAUCGCCCAGGAGCAAUUCAAAUUGUCGGCGAAUUAUGUGCGUCAGAUGACGGAUCGGAUACUGUGCUUCUGCCCGGACGCCCUCGUGGCCGUGUUCGCGCGCCCUGUCACCGCUACGCUCGCGAUGGUCUCCGAGAUAUUUCGGUGUUCCGGUUGGUGGAAUCCGGACCGGAUCGUCGGCUCAAUCGCGACGUACAGUGGACGAAUCGAAAAGAUGGUGGCGGCAAUCCUCGACUUGGAGCGUGCGAGUCUCUCGGUGCCGCUGACCGGCGGCGCCGACGCGCAAACCGUCGUGCCGUUACUGUCGCGUGCUCUUCCCUUCAAUCAAUUCACAAACACACAACGUAAGACCCUACUGCAAUCUCUUCGGGCCAGUGACGAAGAGGCAAAGACAGCGUUCGAUGAAGGUCCAUCGUUAUCGUCCGGAACAGCUGCUGCCAAGUUGAUAAUCAACCUCGCUGCCGGUCUAUCCGGGUGCAACCACGUCAUCAUCUGCGCCUACGUACGAUCGGACGUGCUACCGGUCUGCCGAUUUUUCACCAGCGAACUAGAGCUAGGCCCGGAAGGUAUCAAGCGAAAUUUUGGCUUGCCGAAAAUCUCGGCUGCGGAGUUACUCAUGAUCGAGCAAGCGAUACCUCUCAUUAACGAGCACGUCGACAUGGCGGUUACCGCAGUCCAGAUGGAGAGGACGCGCACUAGGACGCGAUGACGGACUCGAGACUGUAGUUCAGAAAAUCUUGCAGAAUUGAAAUCUUAUGCGAGUAUCUCGGGGUGUUUAUGGUUUUAUUGCGACAGCUGUAUUCAACUUCAUAUCAUGCGCUUCGUCGUAUACUCAGCUUCCAUCCUCUCGACGUCAUUACUACGAUAUUUGAUGAUACAUAUCCCUGGUCCGUGAUUGCAAUCAUCUCUGCGAAUUUGGCGCAUUCCGAAACUUAUCUCAUAGGGAAAAGUUUUAUUUGCAGUAUCCAGCUAUGACAAUCCUUGGGUGUGUUCAAGAAUUAUGUCUAGAUAACUCCGAGUAUACACUUUUCAUAUAAUAUACGUGAGUGUAGUCUAGAAUUAUAUCUGAACGUAAUUCCUGAACACACCCCUCGGUAGCGUUU
Molecule: RNA transcript, 1781 nt
Organism: Trachymyrmex septentrionalis
Lineage: Eukaryota; Metazoa; Arthropoda; Insecta; Hymenoptera; Formicidae
Gene name: malate dehydrogenase-like
Exons: 4
Source: RefSeq, a predicted model, not a curated record